AGGAGCAAACGAUGAGUAUGUGAAUGACGAGGACUGGCAGGCUAUAAAGGAGAGGCCCACAGCCCAGUGAGAGCUGAUAGAGGAGAAGAUAGAGAUUUUGUGCUGGAAAUGUAGGCUGGAAUGGCUCUCCCUUCUCCCUGACUGAAGGUCUCUUCCUUUUCCUGUUGCCCUGGAACUGGAGCAUAUUGCGUCUCUAAGGAGCUGGAUACACAGUUUUUCCUUCUGUCACCAGGCAAGAAGAAAUGCUUGGUCAAUGAGAACUGCUGGAGGAAAGGUACAGGUGCUGUUUCACUCCACUGCCACAAUUAAAAUUACCUAGACAGAGGCAGUACAAAGGUGCUCUUUACUCUCUUGUCCCUCCAAGCAUGGACAUCAAGAACUGGAUCCCUAGCCUGCUGACAUCAAUGGGAGCCCUUCCAUUCACCUUGUGGAGUCUGUGCCAGGCCAAGAAGGAACACAGAUGAGAGAAGGCAAUUUGGCUGUCACAUUUUCCUUUCAUCAAGAGCUUUACAUGGACAAACUCUUUUUAAUGUAACUUCUUCUGCUGAGUUGGAGAUUUUUGUCCCUGUGAAUUUCCAUUAAUAACAACAGAGGUUUGCAUGCAAUUCCAGGAUGGGUCUGAGAAUGCAGUGAAGAACUAGAGUUACGUGGGACAUGUCUGAGGUGCCAAAACAUUGUUCUAAGGGUGUGACUCUUGAGCUGUCAGCUUUCUAAGGAGGAAAUGGACUGAGUGACAGAGCCAUCUGAAGUGCUCAGGCUGUUUGCAACACAGGUGCUGGAGAAUAAGCAAAAUCACCCAUGAAAGAAGCCGUGAAGUUUGUGGUGAAAGCCAAAAUUAGAGCCAGUUCCAGAGAUGAGUGAUAACUCCAGUUUCCACAGCACCUUUGUGCACAGCUCAUGUGCUGCAAGCAUGGUCUAACAAAAGCAAAGGGAUCCGUGAUGGCAACAGGGAUUACCUCCAAGGGAGCCAAUCACUUCAGCAUUCAUCUGACAGGUUGCUGCAGAACUG
Long non-coding RNA from Corvus hawaiiensis (hawaiian crow), 1009 nucleotides. RefSeq lists it as uncharacterized. Lineage: Eukaryota; Metazoa; Chordata; Aves; Passeriformes; Corvidae. The record is from RefSeq and is a predicted model, not a curated record. The transcript has 6 exons.